Molecule: ribosomal RNA, 406 nt
Filed under: uncultured bacterium
Lineage: Bacteria
Description: partial 16S ribosomal RNA
Rfam family: Bacterial small subunit ribosomal RNA
Source: RNAcentral
AAUGAACGCUGGCGGCAGGCCUAACACAUGCAAGUCGAGCGAGAGGCGGACGGGUGAGUAGUGUAUGGGGAUCUGCCCGAUAGAGGGGGAUAACUACUGGAAAAGGUGGCUAAUACCGCAUACUAUGGGAUGAACCCAUAUGGGAUGAGCUAGUAGGUGGGGUAAAGGCUCACCAAGGCGACGAUCUCUAGCUGGUCUGAGAGGAUGAUCAGCCACACUGGGACUGAGACACGGCCCAGACUCCUACGGGAGGCAGCAGUGGGGAAUAUUGCACAAUGGGCGCAAGCCUGAUGCAGCCAUGCCGCGUGUAUGAAGAAGGCCUUAGGGUUGUAAAGUACUGUCAGCGGGGAGGCGUUACCCGCAGAGGAAGCACCGGCUAACUCCGUGCCAGCAGCCGCGGUAAUAC